This 421-nucleotide long non-coding RNA is filed under the name Elaeis guineensis (African oil palm). Its description in RNAcentral is "long non-coding RNA (EGUI_LNC074483)". The record is from RNAcentral. Lineage: Eukaryota; Viridiplantae; Streptophyta; Magnoliopsida; Arecales; Arecaceae.
GCUGACGAUUGGCUUUGGGACACUAUUCCCAACAUGCAUUAAACAUAAACCACAAGGAUCUACUUCAUAUGCUGAAAUUGUACAUAUUCUGAAAUUUAAUAUGUGAUCGAAUCACAAAUCUGUUUCAUAAUUUCUUUCUUCAAAUCUAGAUCUGGAAGAGAAGAGAUUUUUUUUAGCCAUACAAGUAUCCCGCCUCUACGGGUAUCCACUCGAGAUCAGUCUGGAAUAAUUCUCUUCAAAUUAAUUUUUCUUUUCUAAAAAAAAUCAAUCUGCGAAUCUGAACGAAGCCUGAAUCACGAUCAACUCUUUGAUCCUUUUCUUGAUCUUCUUUUUUUCUUCUUUUCUUGGCUUUUUCUCCUACUACCAGAAAGAAAAAAUAGCACACAAGGGAUGCCCAAAGCCCUUAUGGGCGUGAUGAUGA